CUCCAUAUUCAAGGAGAAGAUCUAGAUCCCGCUCAACUUAUAGAUCUCCUUCUCCUCUACGACGUAGAAUGCAUUCCCCCUACCGUCGUAGUUCACCCUCUUACCGUCGACGCAGAUCACCUUCUCCUGUGAAAAGACGCAGAUCGCCUUCUCCAAUGCGUCGACGUAGAUCUCCUUCACCAAUCCGUCGACGUAGAUCACCUUCUCCAGUGCGUCGACGCAGAUCACCCUCUCCUGUAAGGCGACAAAGGUCACCCUCUCCACUGCGACGUCGAUCUCCCAUCAUGCGGUAUAGAUCUCCACCUGUGCGCCGAAUGCCUCCAACCCAUCUACGGUCUAGAUCAGGAUCUCCCAUGCAAUCCACUUCUCCCAUA
RNAcentral lists this long non-coding RNA (374 nucleotides) under Arachis ipaensis. Its description in RNAcentral is "long non-coding RNA (AIPA_LNC000525)". Lineage: Eukaryota; Viridiplantae; Streptophyta; Magnoliopsida; Fabales; Fabaceae. The record is from RNAcentral.